This is a non-coding RNA of Schizosaccharomyces pombe (fission yeast), 904 nucleotides long. NCBI's taxonomy places the organism in Eukaryota, Fungi, Ascomycota, Schizosaccharomycetes, Schizosaccharomycetales, Schizosaccharomycetaceae. The record is from the annotation of a GenBank genome assembly.
UACCCAUAUAUCUGUACGUGGAACUCCACUCUCUCUAAUUCCUUCACCAAUUUCUUUUUCGUUUCCAUAAAUGUGAGCCGUAUCAAUGUGGCGGUAUCCUGCCUUCAAAGCAGCGCAAACAGCAUUCUUGGUUUCAUCUUUACCAGAUCUCCAAGUACCAAGCCCAAUAGAAGGUAUUUUAUCACCAUUAGGAAGCGUGAAGUAAGCUUCACGUGCGUUCUUAGCAAAUUCUUUAAUUGACAUUAAGGCUGAGAAGUAAUUGUGUUAGGUAAAAGUGAAAUCUAUCUCACCAUUUCGGAACACAUACGGAAGCACAAUGAGCGGAUGAAGGGAAUAGAGUCUAGCCAAUGCACUCAAGCUGUUUAGACUUUAAUUUUACGGAUAGGUCAAAGAAAUUGAGUAUUUGCUGUAUUUCCAAUAAUGAGGUGGAACGUAUGUAUUUUUCAUAAUUAAUUGUCAAAACGAUCCACGCAUAUCUGACUUUUCACGUUAUAGAUUAGAUGCUAAAAUGUAUUCAAAAAUAAGAUGUGUGACCAUGUGCUAUAAUUUUAUAAAAGAUCCUUGUCCUUGGCUUAGGUUAAGUUCCACUAGGCUCGUUCAUUAUUAUAUUCUUAGACGUUUCUUUAUUUUUGAUAUAAUAAUUCGCUAGAAUUAAAUGGAGUAUGGAACUGAUGGAAUUUAAAUAAAUUGACUUUUCGUUUUCUAUUAAAAACGAUGAUUAUUCGGGUAUUGUUUACAUUUUCUCUUCCAGUCCAUCAUUUGAUGCUAGUUAAGUUCGUAAUUAGGUUUUUGCUUGAGUCAGCGUAUGGGAUGUUCUUAUAACUGAGCAUUUUACUAAUUGGCGAUAACUUUAAUCUUCUGUAAACUAAUAAAUGGUCUAAAAUAUAAAUACUCUUCAAAUUCA